RNAcentral lists this ribosomal RNA (547 nucleotides) under uncultured bacterium. Its description in RNAcentral is "bacterial SSU rRNA". It matches the Rfam family "Bacterial small subunit ribosomal RNA", at positions 355 to 896 of the family's 1533-position model. The record is from RNAcentral.
UGGGGAAUAUUGCGCAAUGGGGGGAACCCUGACGCAGCCAUGCCGCGUGAAUGAAGAAGGCCUUCGGGUUGUAAAGUUCUUUCGGUAUUGAGGAAGGUUGAUGUGUUAAUAGCACAUCAAAUUGACGUUAAAUACAGAAGAAGCACCGGCUAACUCCGUGCCAGCAGCCGCGGUAACACGGAGGGUGCGAGCGUUAAUCGGAAUAACUGGGCGUAAAGGGCACGCAGGCGGUUAUUUAAGUGAGGUGUGAAAGCCCCGGGCUUAACCUGGGAAUUGCAUUUCAGACUGGGUAACUAGAGUACUUUAGGGAGGGGUAGAAUUCCACGUGUAGCGGUGAAAUGCGUAGAGAUGUGGAGGAAUACCGAAGGCGAAGGCAGCCCCUUGGGAAUGUACUGACGCUCAUGUGCGAAAGCGUGGGGAGCAAACAGGAUUAGAUACCCUGGUAGUCCACGCUGUAAACGCUGUCGAUUUGGGGGUUGGGGUUUAACUCUGGCGCCCGUAGCUAACGUGAUAAAUCGACCGCCUGGGGAGUACGGCCGCAAGGUUA